GAGUUUGAUCUUGGCUCAGAUUGAACGCUGGCGGCAUGCCUCACACAUGCAAGUCGAACGGCAGCAUGAUCUAGCUUGCUAGAUUGAUGGCGAGUGGCGAACGGGUGAGUAAUACAUCGGAACGUGCCCUGUAGUGGGGGAUAACUAGUCGAAAGAUUAGCUAAUACCGCAUACGACCUGAGGGUGAAAGUGGGGGACCGCAAGGCCUCAUGCUAUAGGAGCGGCCGAUGUCUGAUUAGCUAGUUGGUGGGGUAAAGGCCCACCAAGGCGACGAUCAGUAGCUGGUCUGAGAGGACGAUCAGCCACACUGGGACUGAGACACGGCCCAGACUCCUACGGGAGGCAGCAGUGGGGAAUUUUGGACAAUGGGCGAAAGCCUGAUCCAGCAAUGCCGCGUGUGUGAAGAAGGCCU
This 412-nucleotide ribosomal RNA is filed under the name uncultured microorganism. Its description in RNAcentral is "bacterial SSU rRNA". It matches the Rfam family "Bacterial small subunit ribosomal RNA", at positions 9 to 417 of the family's 1533-position model. The record is from RNAcentral.